RNAcentral lists this long non-coding RNA (589 nucleotides) under Homo sapiens (human). RNAcentral's name for it is "HSALNT0342342". The record is from RNAcentral. Lineage: Eukaryota; Metazoa; Chordata; Mammalia; Primates; Hominidae.
CUGCUUUCAGGUGAUCCACCCGCCUAGCCUACCCAAAGUGCUAGGAUUGCAAGUGUGAGCCACCACAUCUGGCCUGACGUUCUCUUCUUGUUGCAUCAAGCCAUCAUCCACCGGGCGCCCCUAGACAGCAGUCUCUGUGGAAACUGCUGAGCCACAUGGUCAAGCACCACAGCCAGCCAAGACGCUGCAAACCAAGCUGGAGGUUUCGGGGGUUUCCAGUCUUUUUUUUUUUUUUUUUUAAGUAUCAAACACCAUAAAAUUCCCAUCACUGUUCUGGAGACACAGACGUAAAUGGAAAAUGGAUUCCUGUUAGUCUGGUGCAUCUGAAAGUUCUGUGAACACUAGCCUGCCACAUUCAGUGGAUCUGGAGGCAACUAUCGCCCUCCUAUAAAUACCAAGGGUGCCACUGGCCUGCUCCUUACACCAGACAGUAAACAGUCACCAAGAGCCUGAUUGAAGCUUUGGGACAAAACAAUGAAACCAAAAGAUGGAUUUGCUGAGUAGCGGAGACCGUAAACUGCUACUCUCAGUUUAUUUAUUUAUUUAUUUUUAAUUUUUUUUUUUUUUUGAGAUGGAGUCUCACUCUGCC